This 251-nucleotide ribosomal RNA is filed under the name uncultured prokaryote. Its description in RNAcentral is "partial 16S rRNA". It matches the Rfam family "Bacterial small subunit ribosomal RNA", at positions 525 to 775 of the family's 1533-position model. The record is from RNAcentral.
ACGGAGGGUGCAAGCGUUAAUCGGAAUAACUGGGCGUAAAGCGCACGCAGGCGGCUCGACAAGUCAGAUGUGAAAGCCCCGGGCUCAACCUGGGAACUGCAUUUGAAACUGUCUGACUUGAGUAAUGUAGAGGGGGGUAGAAUUCCAGGUGUAGCGGUGAAAUGCGUAGAGAUCUGGAGGAAUACCGGUGGCGAAGGCGGCCUCCUGGACAAAGACUGACGCUCAGGUGCGAAAGCGUGGGGAGCAAACAG